This 322-nucleotide ribosomal RNA is filed under the name uncultured bacterium. RNAcentral describes it as "bacterial SSU rRNA". It matches the Rfam family "Bacterial small subunit ribosomal RNA", at positions 348 to 657 of the family's 1533-position model. The record is from RNAcentral.
GCAGCUGUAGGGAAUGUUCUUGCAAUGGCAAAAGAUCUGACGGAUGCGAAGACGUUGAUGUGAUGAAGGUGUUCGGAUCGGUAAGAUUUGUUUUUAGGGAAGAAGAAGUGCGAGAGUAACUGCUCGUACGUGUACGGUACGUAUCUAGAAAGCCACGUCUAAGAUCGCGCUAGCAGUCGGGGUAAUAUGUGUGGUGGCAAGGGUCUCUUGGACCUCUUGGGAGUAAAGGGCUCGCAGGGUGGUAUCUUAAAUUUCAUGCGAAAGCCCUCGGUUCUCCCUGGGGCGGGUCAUUCAAAGAAGUAUAACUGGGGUGGAGAAGAGG